Molecule: ribosomal RNA, 484 nt
Filed under: uncultured bacterium
Lineage: Bacteria
Description: partial 16S ribosomal RNA
Rfam family: Bacterial small subunit ribosomal RNA
Source: RNAcentral
GACGAACGCUGGCGGCGUGCUUAACACAUGCAAGUCGAACGAUGAAGCCGGAGCUUGCUCUGGUGAAUUAGUGGCGAACGGGUGAGUAACACGUGAGUAACCUGCCCUUGACUCUGGGAUAACUGCGGGAAACUGUAGCUAAUACCGGAUACGACCCUCGGAGGCAUCUCUUGGGGGUGGAAAGAAUUUCGGUCAAGGCCGGACUCGAGGCCUAUCAGCUAGUUGGUGAGGUAAAGGCUCACCAAGGCGAAGACGGGUAGCCGGCCUGAGAGGGUGACCGGCCACACGGGGACAGAGACACGACCCAUGAUCCGACGGGAUGCAUCAGUGGAGAAUAUUGCACAAUGGGCGCAAGCCUGCUGCAGCAACGCCGCGUGAGGGAUGACGGCCUUCGGGUUGUAAACCUCUUUUAGCAGGGAAGAAGCGAAAGUGACGGUACCUGCAGAAAAAGCACCGGCUAACUACGUGCCAGCCGCCGCAGUAA